UACGUAGGGGGCGAGCGUUGUCCGGAUUUAUUGGGCGUAAAGAGCGUGUAGGCGGCCAGGUAGGUCUGCUGUGAAAACUCGAGGCUCAACCUCGAGACGUCGGCGGAAACCAUCUGGCUAGAGUCCGGAAGAGGAGAGUGGAAUUCCAGGUGUAGCGGUGAAAUGCGCAGAUAUCAGGAAGAACACCCGUGGCGAAGGCGGCUCUCUGGGACGGUACUGACGCUGAGACGCGAAAGCGUGGGGAGCGAACAGG
Molecule: ribosomal RNA, 253 nt
Filed under: uncultured bacterium
Lineage: Bacteria
Description: partial 16S ribosomal RNA
Rfam family: Bacterial small subunit ribosomal RNA
Source: RNAcentral